Molecule: long non-coding RNA, 549 nt
Organism: Canis lupus familiaris (dog)
Lineage: Eukaryota; Metazoa; Chordata; Mammalia; Carnivora; Canidae
Exons: 2
Source: RefSeq, a predicted model, not a curated record
GGGAUGUCCUGGGCUUUCUGGGCUGGCUUCCUGCCCAGAAACGGCUCUGGUCACUCUGGACACCAGAGCUAGAGGGGGGGAUGGGGACCAGGGGUUGGUAUGGCCAGUCUCUAAUUGCGGGUGCUAUGGAAGGUUCCUGAAAAAGCCAGCAUCUGCUGCCCCGUGGGACCGGCAAGGCUCCACCUGGAAGGGCGGGAGGACCAUUUUCUGACUCUGGCUCUGAGCCUCUGCCCUAGUCUGAGCCCCAAUUUUUACUCCAGUCUGAGCUUGACCUCAUACAGAGCUUGGCCCACAGAUCUGUGGCCUUUAUACUCUAUAGCUUCUGAAGUUAUUAAAGCUUAAAAUGAAGUCUUCUGGGGGCACGAACAUACUGACAUCUGUGAGACCUCGGUGGGCUUCAAUCCCUCAUCUGGAAAGUGGGUAUAACUGCAGUAUCAUGGCACCUGCGCAUCACAAGCCUUCAGAAAAUGCUAGUUGUUAUGACUGUUGUGGCCAUUGUGGGGAGACGCAGUGUGAUAUUAUGCUGUAUUAAAAACCAGUAGCACUUCA